AGCUCCAGAUGUAUUGAGUUAUAACUUCCACCACCUUAAUCCAACAAGGUUUGCUAUUAGAUACAAGUAAAUUUUUUUCACAUGGGUCAAGCCAUUCUUCACUGUGCAUGUAUCUCAAAGAGUUUCAGUCAUAAUGCCUUCUUUCUAAUAACUGCUAUUUCCAUUUUUGCUUUCCUAUGACCAUCACUAUUCUAGGGAACAUUUGCUGUCUCAACAGCUCACCGCAUUUUUAAACGGAUUUUUUUCUUCAUAUUCUGAACAAAUGUAAAAAUGAUUUCUGGAAAGAAUAGUUUUCUUUUCUUUCUCUUUUAAUUAUGAAAGUGGAUUCUAGUAUUUGAACAUUUUCACAAAUAUGUGUAGAAUUUGCCCUUUUCAUAGGUUUAGAUUUAAAGACAUUGAUUUGCUCCUUGUAGUUAACUAAUUAGGAGUCUUUCAAUUGAUUUUCACGAAAGUAGUAAUGGGACUUUAAUCCAAAUACAUUGCAAUUGCAAGUAGCAAAGAAGGGAGGAUUUUCAAGCAUUUAAAACUAUCUGGAUUUUAUUGUGAUAUUAUGUACUUCUCAAGAUAAAAUUUUGUCUGGCAUUGAAGAUGGUUAAGAAAAUCUACAUUUCAAGUGUGAAUCCAACACCUCCACUUAUAAACAUAGUCUGCUUAAAAGGCUACCCUCUCUCGUGCCUGUCUUGAGAUGUAACCAACAUGCUUUAUAAUAAAAAUUAUUAUUAUUACUUUAAGAUGCCUAUAUGAACCAUUCUGCAGGAAAAAUAACAAAGCUAUUCAUAAUACAUUGCAAUUACAAUAAAAUAGAAAUUACCUUGGCUCAUUUUUAAAUUCCGUUUUUGUUGUUGUUGUUGUUGUUAUAACAAUGGAAAACAAGGCUCCCUGUUCUCUUUUCUUUCUUAGGAAGUCAGAAAGAAAUCAGAAAGAAGAAAAAUGUCAGGUUUGAUAUCCAGGUAGCUGAAUACAUGGAAGCCUUCAGAAGUCCCAAGUCUAUACAAAACUGAAGCAAAGAGGCUUCCUCCCUGAUAUAAAUCAUUUCGGUUGCAAUCCUUGCCUGAGAUUAAUAUCAGAAGAUCUUAUUUCUGAACAAGGUUUUUCACGAAGAGUUUCCUUGCUCUUCGAAGCUUUUUGAAAACUCCGGCAAACAUGCAAACUUGCCAGUCAUAGAACCAUCCCAAGAUGAAGCACUACAGAAGAAAAGCAUCAGGAGACUUAGGGAUGGGCUAUAAAGAUUGUUGCCAAUACAAGCCUCCUAUUCAAAAAUAUUGCUUGUGGGUUGGAAAGUUUGGUAUUCUUUAAAAUUCUUUAAUAAUACAUUAAAGAUUUUUUUUUUAAAGUUGGACUGUGAAGAACUAGUCAGGAGGAAAAUCAACUCAUUUGAGCUGUGGCAUUGGGGAAAGCUCCAGUGCAUUCUUUAGACAGCAAAGGUAACAAAGAAGCAAGUACUGGAGCAUAUAAAACCAGACACAUCGCUGGAAGGCAGAAUCAGAAAAUUCCAUGUUGCUUAUUUCAGCCAUGUAAUGCAAUCAAACACUGGAAAAGGCAAUUAUGCUUGGAAUGGUCAGCAGUAAAAGGAACAAAGCCACCCAAAAAUACAGUGGCUAGAUACCAUCAAAGCUGACAUCAGCCAGGGCACAAAACAACUGGAAGAAGCCACACAAGAACGGAAAAUAUGGAAAAAGCUGGUUCACAGAAUCAGCACGAGUUGUAUAUGAUUGAAUGAAUAGCACAGCAUGGUUAAUAUAUAAGUACCUACAGAGUUAGAGUAUCCAUGAGUGAACAAACCUGGUUCAAAUUUAUUUUUUCUUUUAAAAUGAUAUUGAGCAUAGGGUUUUAUUCUUUUAUUAUAGAUUUUCUACAUUUCUUCCUCAAAAUCAUGGAUAACCAUGUAACUUCUGGGUUAUUCCUCAUUUGAACCAGAAAGCAUUAAAUUAGCAUUUAAUGAUAAUUAUCUCAUCUCGUCCGUGUUCUGAAAUCUUUCAAAAUGUUUUCAUGGAUGUAUGCAUGCAUGAUGAUACAAUUACAAUAAAUGUCAUUUAGUAUAAUCCUUAUAAAUAUCAUUAUUACUCUGAUGUAUCUACUGUUUUUGCUGAGCAGCAAAGGAAAUAAAACAUCAAAAGUUGAGGAAUAGAAAAAGACAUCAGUGAACACCUCACAAAGGCAACUAUGUAAUACUCCAGAUGUUACUGAACUUUAUAAUUCUUAUUCAUGUCAGCCAGCUUGAUCCAAGCAACUGGAAUUACAGAAUUUGUAAUUCAAUAAUAUUGGGAAGCCCCCAACCCUGCUCUAUGGCCAAUGCUCUUUCCUCAACUAAAUUAAUAGAUUGGCAGCAGAAGUUCACUUCUCAACAAGAUUGCUAAAAUAACCAUGUAUCUUUACAAAGCAUAACAUCUUAGUUUUGUCUAUAAUUUGUACACCAUGCCAUCAUAUGCUGGGGAAUGUUGCAAACAAGGCAUAAGGAGAACAAUCUUUUUCUUCCCAUCUUGCUCUCUUGGGAACUUUUUACUUUGCUGAAAGCUAAUAACAAGGCACUGUUUGGAAAUAUUUUUCUCUUAUUAGACACUCUUCAUGGAACAUUUCAAAUGUUUAAUUGAAUUGGGGCUUUAUUGCUCUACAUAUAUAUGUAUGCCCACUCUUUCUCACUUAAUUAUUUCAUAUGCUUUUGUUCCUUUGGAGGAAUGUUCUGUUUUCAAUCAAACAAGAACAGUAGCAACUUGACAGAGAGAUUUACUGAUUAUUGAGAGAGAUUCAUAUUUUUUGCUCCAGUAGAGACUGAUAAUAUGUUUGGGGACUACAAUUGUUAAGAUAAAAGGUUCCCACACAGUAUUUCAUGUACUGUUUUUUAAAGGGACAGAUUGAUAUGAAUAGAAAAAGUGGAAGAGUGGUUUCUUGUUUAAAUGCUGGCAUGUAUUUGUGGGCAUGCUAACAAUGUAGGAAAUACAUUGCUGGCCAAAUAGUAAAGCAUGUUAGAAGUGGUUUUGCAUAUGUUUUAGAGCAGUGGUCCCCAGCCCUGGUCCGUGGACCAGUACCGGGCCAUGGCAUGCCAGCAACUGGACCACACAAACAAGCAAAGCCCCAUCUGCAGGAUGCAGGCAGCACGCAAAACCACGCCCCCUCCAGUCCACGGAAAAACCUCUCUCCAUGGAACCGAUCCCUGGUGCACAGAAGAUUGGGGACCUUUGAUCUAGAGAACCAUACAAGCAGGAAAAAGUCCCACACUCUCCGCUUGUUUGUGCAACACAUACAAGGGAGAAAACAAUUCCAUUCUCGUGUCAAACAGUAAUAAUAAUCAAGUAGAUAUAUAAUAGCUACUUCUUACAAGAAUGUAUUAUCAAAAUUAAUAUUUGCUAUUCUAGAGGAUUGCUAUUCUCAAACUAGUCAUUGAAAAGUAUGGAGAGAUAUAGUGAACAAUAUUUGUGUACAUUUGUUUUAGUUGCUUCCCUGUCUUAUCUCAUAUUUUAAUAUCUUUGGCUUAUUAUUUCCUUCUUUCUACAAAGAAGUUUCAAUGGUUGCCAAUUGCUUCAUGGAUGUAACCAGGUUUUUAAUUUAAAUAAAACUGGAUGAGAGGGGAAAGCUCUACUCCAUUCUUCUACUUCCUAUUCUCAUUAAAUUUGCUAAAAGAGAAUUUGUUUUAGAAAUUCUUUCAAGGAAAAGAAUAUUUCGGAUAAAUGUUUGCAAAUGGAAUCAGAUGUUUUGCACUUAUUUACUUGAUGGCCAGAGAUGUAUGUCCUAUCUUUUCCCCUACAAUCACUCUUCCAGAGGUUUGCUAUAACUUUUAUUUCUUGCAUUUCAAUUAUUUCCCUCACCAGCCUCAGCUACUGAGAAAACAUUUAAUAAUUUCUUCUUUCCCUGGAAAAAGUGAUCACCCAUUCUCUGGUAGUGAUUUGGUAGUGAAAUUGGUAGUGAAAUUCAAAAGGCUCUUUAUGAUCCAAUCUAGUUCUGAAGCUUGAAACCCUGAGACAACUUUGCUUCCAGAGUUACACAAUUGGUUCAGAUUUCAACAAUGUAGAAUGUUGUCUUUUUCAGCAGCUAUUUAUCAAAUACACAGAAAGUGCAUCUGUUGUAUAGCCUACUAAGCAUGGAAUCCAAUCUCUUCAGACUUGAAUUUGACCUGUUCUCUUUCUAAUCAUGGGUGGGUUUUUUUUUCUCCCCCACACCUUUUUAACCAGACCUUAGCACACUUUUAUGAUGUUUUUAAUUUAUAUAUGUAUUUAAUGAUAUUUUAAUUACUUCUUUUAAUUGCCUGGGCCAUUCAGUCAGAGAAAAAGGCAGGAUAUAAAUGCACAAGUAAAUAAUAAUGAGGUGAAAACCAUGUCCCUGUCUUGGUGGGGAUGAGGGAAGGGAAUAUAAUCUGAAUUCUAUCAAAGCCCUCUCACUUUCUAGUUUUAUCUCUUGGUUGACAUAUUUUCCAAACUUCUUUUAAGCCCAAGGGAAACAAAGUUUUCCCAUGAAUGAGUUCAGCUGCAACUCCCCAAGGAAUCUAAAGGACCAUUUGUAUAAAACAGUGAUUCUGAAACAUCAAGUGUCUUCCAGAGCAGGUAGAAAAGAAGUAUUCCUUUUCAGAUGCUUACUUAGGCCCAGAGUGAAUCUAAUGCAGCAUUUACUUUGCAUACAGUUAGAAAAUGGUCAGCUGAUACUGAGAAGAAAAAAAUCUUCUUUCAAUUUGUCUUCUGAUUAAUAACUCAAUCUACUCUCUAAAUGAACUAAGAAGUUCUCCUGAAAUCUUCUACAUGUGCAAGAUCAAUCCUACUAGCAGGGAGAACCCUAUACAAGAGCUGCUAGGCGCAGUGUUUCUCAACCUUGACAAUUUUAAGGCAUGUGGACUUCAACUCCCAGAAUUCCACAGCCAGCAAUGCCUUACACAUGCCUUAAAAUUGUCAAGGUUGAGAAACACUGUUAGUGGGACAGCAAUGAAUGCCUCCCUGCAAGUCUCAUGCAUGCUGUACUCACUCAUACUUAUUAAAGAGUAUUCGGCUCCACAGCUAGCCCAUUCCUUCUGGUAUGAUGGUGCAGUAAGAUUCAGCUAUCAAUCCAAAUGGUUACUGUGCAUGGAGCUGGGAUGAGAAACCAUCCCGAACUUUGUCUUAGGUGGGAAAACACCUUUGGCCCAUUCUAGGUCUCGGUUCAUACAACAUACUAAAUCUGCCUCUGAAGCUACACAUUUUGUGGUUUUACACAAUACCUUGUAUAUAAUUAACCAAGAGGCUGACUUCAUAUAAUGUGUAAGCCGUCAAAAUAAAACUGAAGUUGAAUGGUAGUCAAGGUUAGUAUGAGUCACCAAUGUUAGCAUGCUAUGCUGCUCUACUCUAAAUGAUUCUUGUGUGUGGAAAACGGAUGACAAAGAGCAGCAAAUAGCAGCAACAUCUACAGUUGGAUAGCAACAUUAUUCAUCAACAUGGUUGAUUGCAAAAAGGUAAAUAUGGUUGGAUUUGGUUAGUAGUCUGAUGGAAGGAAGCCAUGAAAUCCCAAGGCUGGGAGGUUGAAAAAGUCUCCUGGAAGUCGUAAACCACUUUGGCAUUCUUGUUAAAAUCAAACACCCUGCAGGAAAGAAAUAACUUGAGCAGCUGCAGCAAGGAUUCAGCUGCCAACACAUGCCUCAGGUUGUUGCACUACCAGUUCAUCCAUAAUUACAAGACACACACCUUUAGUUUUACCUAAUAUAACAAAUGGCAAGGGGUUGUAGUUGUCCUCUGAAACAGUCAGAAGGGUCUACCUUUGCUCUUCAGUCUCACUCUGGGCUCAAGGAAUGGGCCCACAACACUGCCCGGAGUCUGCUGCAAUCUAAUCCCAUCCGUAGACCUAGCACCAAGGGAGCACCUGCUCUG
Crotalus tigris (Tiger rattlesnake) is the source of this 5822-nucleotide long non-coding RNA. RefSeq lists it as uncharacterized. The record is from RefSeq and is a predicted model, not a curated record. Lineage: Eukaryota; Metazoa; Chordata; Lepidosauria; Squamata; Viperidae. The transcript has 3 exons.